AUGAUUCGGGUCUGUGAUUGAAAGGCCAUGCCAGCUACGGGCGAAGGGUCCCACGUAAACCGCCGAAGAGCAGUAGGCGGCGAUCAUGGCGUAGUUUAGAAGUAAGUCCUCGGAGAAACUCCGGUCAAGGCGAGUGUGGGGGCAAAGAUCAGGUCAGCCGGGUCAU
Molecule: non-coding RNA, 166 nt
Submitted as: unclassified sequences
Source: Rfam